AAAUUGCUCUCAAACCAUAAAAAAAAACAAGUCUUGUUUGCUUUUCUUGAAGUUUCAGCUGCUUUUUGUUGCAAAGGUUGAAACUUUAUCCAGUGAAAAAUGAAGUCUUGGCAGUCUGGUGAUGUUUGCUUAACUUUCUCUUUAGAAUUUUAGCUAAUUUUUCCUCUGGUUUUUGGUACCAUUUUGUGUUCAUAGGGUUAAGAAUGUUACUGUGGAAGUGAUGGUUUUUGUGCUUAUCAUAACAUUUUGCCUUGUGGGGUUUUGAAAGUUUUGAUUUUUGUGGUGUUUCAUAAGAUUUUGCCUUGUGGGGUUAUCAAGAUUUUGAAGUUUUUUUUGAUGAUUUAGAUGGAUUCUGGUAGUUUAUAUUCAAACAUGGGUCCUGGUAUGUUGGGAUUAGAAAUGUCAUUGCAUCAUCAAAUCCCUCCACAGAACACUCACCAUCACUUGCAUCAACAACCUCCACCUCACCCCCAGCCCCAACCCCACCACCACCCCAUGGUUUCAUUUGCACAUCAAGAAAAUAAUGAUAACCAACAACAAACAUUGAGGCAAGUUUUUCCAUUUGGUAGCAACAAGGCUAAAAAUCAAAGCUUGAAUUUUAGUGAUGAUGAUGAACCUGUUCCUGGUGUUAGUGCUGACAAUAAUAGUACUGAUGAUGGUAAAAGGAAUGGUAAUAAAACUUGUCCUUGGCAAAGAAUGAAGUGGACUGAUAAUAUGGUUAGGUUGUUGAUUAUGGUGGUUUAUUAUAUUGGUGAUGAAGUUGGUUCUGAA
This 771-nucleotide unclassified non-coding RNA is filed under the name Hevea brasiliensis (rubber tree). The record is from RNAcentral. Lineage: Eukaryota; Viridiplantae; Streptophyta; Magnoliopsida; Malpighiales; Euphorbiaceae.